AUGGACAGGGUCGCCGGGAGAGCGAGCAGCGCCUUGCGGCCGUAUCUAUCGGAGAGGUUGCCGAUGACCGGCGUGACCACCAGCGCACCCAGCCCGGUGAUCUGCAGCGAUUUUUAUUCAGGACAUGAGACUGAUCACUUCACUAUAGCUCAAGAGGAGAAAUUUGCACUUGCCGAGGCGAAAAGGUUAGCUAUGCAAGCAAAAAAGGGAGAAGCGGCAGAGGCAAAACAACGGAAGGCAGAAGAAGAAAAAAAGGAUUCAAGAAGAGAAGAAGAGAGAGGCAGAGGAAGCAUGCGCAAGGGAGGAAAGUCAGUUCAUUUUCAUGCAACAAGAGGAGCAGGAAAGGCAGCAGAGAUGGAGAGAAUAUCAGCAGCGAGAGGAGCAAGCAAGGCAAAAGACUGCUCCACAAAGUGA
RNAcentral lists this ribosomal RNA (414 nucleotides) under Triticum aestivum (bread wheat). RNAcentral describes it as "partial small subunit ribosomal RNA". The record is from RNAcentral. Lineage: Eukaryota; Viridiplantae; Streptophyta; Magnoliopsida; Poales; Poaceae.